AGGGCGCGGUCUGGAGGCUCACGGGAGAGAGGCUGUAGCCCUGGGCAAUCCCGGGGGUCGUUACAGGAAGGUAGGAAAAUGCCACCCUCAGGGCACUGGUUGGGCUAAAGGUGACACUGGCGUCUCACGGGCUAUGAAGAGUCUUGGAAUGCCUCUUAAUGCCGGGCAAGUCUCACAUGAAGCUACUCAUCAUUUGCUUCGUGUCCUCCGAGCUCCGAGAGUUGGCAAAGCUGAUGAAGGAGCAGUAGACAGCGACCCAAGCACACCACUUCAGCUAGGGAAAGACCGAUUUAAGGCUGCAAGGAAGGAGUCCUGGGAGCAUGGCUUUCCCUGAGCCAAAGCCGCGGCCUCCAGAGCUGCCGCAGAAACGGUUGAAGACGCUGGACUGCGGGCAGGGGGCAGUGCGAGCCGUACGAUUUAAUGGUGAGCGCCUUCGUCUUCAUUCCGGGUCCUCCUCCCGCCUCCUGAGAUCGACGGCCCAGUAACCCCCGCCUGGUGUUCCCCAGUGGAUGGCAAUUACUGCCUGACGUGCGGCAGUGACAAGACGCUGAAGCUGUGGAACCCGCUUCGGGGGACGCUGCUGCGGACGUACAGCGGCCACGGCUACGAGCUCCUUUGACAACAGUAGUCUCUGCUCCGGCGGCGGGGACAAGGCGGUGGUUCUGUGGGAUGUGGCAUCAGGGCAGGUCGUGCGCAAAUUCCGGGGCCACGCAGGGAAGGUGAACACGGUGCAGUUUAAUGAAGAGGCCACAGUUAUCCUGUCCGGCUCUAUUGAUUCCAGUAUCCGCUGUUGGGAUUGCCGCUCACGGAGGCCUGAGCCAGUGCAGACGCUGGAUGAGGCCAGAGAUGGCGUGUCCAGUGUGAAGGUGUCAGACCACGAGGUCCUGGCAGGCUCUGUGGAUGGCCGCGUGAGACGCUAUGACCUGAGGAUGGGGCAGCUCUUCUCAGACUACGUGGGCAGCCCCAUCACCUGCACCUGCUUCAGCCGGGAUGGGCAGUGCACCCUGGUGUCCAGCCUGGACUCCACAUUGCGGCUCCUGGACAAAGACACAGGGGAGCUGCUGGGCGAGUACAAGGGCCAUAAGAACCAGGAAUACAAGCUGGACUGCUGCCUGAGCGAGCGUGACACACAUGUGGUCAGCUGUUCUGAGGACGGGAAGGUGUUCUUCUGGGACCUGGUGGAGGGUGCGCUGGCUCUGGCCCUGCCUGUGGGUUCCGGUGUGGUGCAGUCGCUGGCCUACCACCCCACAGAGCCCUGCCUGCUGACCGCCAUGGGAGGCAGCGUCCAGUGCUGGCGAGAGGAGGCCUAUGAGGCAGAGGAUGGAGCAGGCUGAAGCCAGGGGACCCACCAACAGGACCAAGGACCGAGACAUAGACAUGGAAGGACUUCAGAUACCAUCUUAUUCUAGAGACGUAGCUGACCAAAAAGUAGGGGAGGGGCUGGGUCUGCAAA
RNAcentral lists this small RNA (1453 nucleotides) under Pan troglodytes (chimpanzee). RNAcentral describes it as "retained intron". Lineage: Eukaryota; Metazoa; Chordata; Mammalia; Primates; Hominidae. The record is from RNAcentral.